UACGUAGGGUGCAAGCGUUGUCCGGAUUUAUUGGGCGUAAAGAGCUCGUAGGCGGUUUGUCGCGUCUGCCGUGAAAGUCCGGGGCUCAACUCCGGAUCUGCGGUGGGUACGGGCAGACUAGAGUGAUGUAGGGGAGACUGGAAUUCCUGGUGUAGCGGUGGAAUGCGCAGAUAUCAGGAGGAACACCGGUGGCGAAGGCGGGUCUCUGGGCAGUAACUGACGCUGAGGAGCGAAAGCGUGGGGAGCGAACAGG
This 253-nucleotide ribosomal RNA is filed under the name uncultured bacterium. RNAcentral describes it as "partial 16S ribosomal RNA". It matches the Rfam family "Bacterial small subunit ribosomal RNA", at positions 524 to 776 of the family's 1533-position model. The record is from RNAcentral.